CAAGGUGAGAAACUUGGUCGAGCGAAACCUCUAUCCGUCAACUCUUGCAAUUGAGCUUUCAAUUCUUUUAACUCGGUCAGUGCCAUACGAUACGGAGCUAUCGAAAUUGGCGUAGUUCCCGGUACAAGCUCAAUACCAAACUCUAUCUCCCGAAUAGGUGGCAAACCCGGUAACUCUUCAGGAAAAACAUCCGGGUAUUCACAAACCACCGGCACAGAUUCGGGUUUCUUUUCUAACUCUUUGUCAUCAAGUACAUACGCAAGG
RNAcentral lists this long non-coding RNA (264 nucleotides) under Gossypium barbadense (sea-island cotton). RNAcentral describes it as "long non-coding RNA (GBAR_LNC005527)". The record is from RNAcentral. Lineage: Eukaryota; Viridiplantae; Streptophyta; Magnoliopsida; Malvales; Malvaceae.